CGGUGCAUUAAAUCCAUUAUCGCCUUGC
This 28-nucleotide small RNA is filed under the name Bombyx mori (domestic silkworm). Its description in RNAcentral is "ovarian small RNA-14524". The record is from RNAcentral. Lineage: Eukaryota; Metazoa; Arthropoda; Insecta; Lepidoptera; Bombycidae.